Molecule: ribosomal RNA, 348 nt
Filed under: uncultured bacterium
Lineage: Bacteria
Description: bacterial SSU rRNA
Rfam family: Bacterial small subunit ribosomal RNA
Source: RNAcentral
AGAGUUUGAUCCUGGCUCAGGAUGAACGCUAGCUACAGGCUUAACACAUGCAAGUCGAGGGGAAACGACAUCGAAAGCUUGCUUUUGAUGGGCGUCGACCGGCGCACGGGUGAGUAACGCGUAUCCAACCUGCCCACCACUUGGGGAUAACCUUGCGAAAGUAAGACUAAUACCCGAUGACGUCUCUAGAAGACAUCUGAAAGAGAUUAAAGAUUUAUCGGUGAUGGAUGGGGAUGCGUCUGAUUAGCUUGUUGGCGGGGUAACGGCCACAAGGCGACGAUCAGUAGGGGUUCUGAGAGGAAGGUCCCCCAAUUGGAACUGAGACACGGUCCAAAUCCUAGGGAGGCA